UCUCCGUUGGUGAACCAGCGGAGGGAUCAUUACCGAGUUUACAAACUCCCAACCCUAUGUGAACCAUACCUAUCGUUGCUUCGGCGGGCUUAGCCCCCGCGCCCUCCGGGGCGCCGGGAAACAGGCGCCCGCCGGAGACCCAAACUCAAUGUUUUUCAUGCAGUAUUAUCUGAGUGGCAAACGCAAAAAUAAAUCAAAACUUUCAACAACGGAUCUCUUGGCUCUGGCAUCGAUGAAGAACGCAGC
Molecule: unclassified non-coding RNA, 246 nt
Filed under: uncultured fungus
Lineage: Eukaryota; Fungi
Description: sequence contains ITS1, 5.8S rRNA gene
Rfam family: 5.8S ribosomal RNA (bases 198-246)
Source: RNAcentral